Tribolium madens (black flour beetle) is the source of this 1382-nucleotide long non-coding RNA. RefSeq lists it as uncharacterized. NCBI's taxonomy places the organism in Eukaryota, Metazoa, Arthropoda, Insecta, Coleoptera, Tenebrionidae. The transcript is spliced from 3 exons. The record is from RefSeq and is a predicted model, not a curated record.
GGAAAACGGGGAAAACUCCAUUCUUAUGGUUGGCGUUACUGGUAUUGACAGCUGAGAAGAGGUUAAGAAAUCAAAACAAAGAACAUUGUUCUGUAAUUAAUAUAAAGAUUUUUUAUUUAGUAUUAAUUCGGUAGGGAAAUUUGUCAUAGUUCUCCCGUUCGAUUAAGGUUAUAUUGGGGGUUCUUUUGUACAAAAAUCAAUCGCCUUACAAUGGGUUUACUGCCUGACUCAUGUCAUCAUCAUAAACUUACAUUUAUUAUUAAAUUAGUUUGGUCUUCUGCGUCUACAUAACGUUYCAGUGCCGUAUUGUUCAAUGUAUUUGGGGCUGAUUCAUUAAGUCUAUGUUGGUAUUUGCAAAAGGGACCUCAUGUGGUAAGUAAUCCCCUCAUUAUUGGAGGUAAAAUAUUUUAUUGUGCAAUACAACUUUAUUCGAAUUGGAAAACUAUACAUCUCUUGGUCAGGAAGUAUGRUUACAUGUAAAGUUAUUGAAGUUAAAUAAUUAUAUCUAAAUCUGUUUUUUCAAGGGAAAUCAAGUCAAAGUCUUGGUGAAAAAAUUGGUAGCAGCUUAUCUUCAUAGCCACAAAUUUUAUUUGCUUCUUGAAUUUUUUUUUGCUUCUUGAAAUUUUGUUGUUGCCUGUAUGCUCUUAUAAAAGCGUCAUAAUCGAAUACUUGAGGACAGACACCACUAUAGUCAAUGUGUAACGAUAGAAUUCAUUGCAAUAUUGAUAGAAACACACACAAAUAUGGAAGAGGAUAGAUAUGGUGUCGACAUAAAAAUAUUAUCUGAAUUUAGACAGUUGAUGCUAAGAAGGAAAAGAAGUAAGAUGGACUUGUGUGUAGAAGUGUUUGUCAACCUUGCCAUCCAAGCAAAACUAAGGGCAAAGUUAAUGCUUGUGUCUGCAGUAGGCGAACUAACGUUUAUGAACAAUGCAACAAACGAAACUUUAAAAUUUUUACAAGUACAUUGGGUUGUGCCCAGCAGCAAGAAACCGGGGUAAAACUUCAGUUCAAUACCUUCAUAGGCACCGUAAACCUAGAAAUUUGUUUCGACGACCUUGAAACCACGGAGAGGUUCAUGAGUUUACUACCCCCGAUUGCUAGUCCAACACCCUGCUUGGAUUGAUUGGAAAAAUGGUUUCAAUUAAGAGGAUUGCUUUUCUGCAUCGAAUCGUCGUUCGAUGGAAACUAUGGACUGUUACCAGCGAGGAAGACCAUAAUAAAAAGCAUGAAGAUGAGUGAAGUUUUUUUUGUACGUAAAAAAUUAAGAUUUUGAUUGGAAGUAAUUGGAAAAUAUGCAUAAAUAAAUGAAUUCAUGUAGAGGAAUUUUCAUAUUCUUUGAUAUAAGUUCAGACUGUAAACUCAAUAAAAAAAUUAUAAACCUA